RNAcentral lists this ribosomal RNA (824 nucleotides) under uncultured Clostridia bacterium. Its description in RNAcentral is "bacterial SSU rRNA". It matches the Rfam family "Bacterial small subunit ribosomal RNA", at positions 66 to 896 of the family's 1533-position model. The record is from RNAcentral. Lineage: Bacteria; Bacillati; Bacillota; Clostridia.
ACGGGAUUUAGUAGACAGAAACCUCGGUGGAAGAUUACUAAUGAGAGUGGCGAACGGGCGAGUAACGCGUGAGCAACCUGCCUAUGACAGUGGGAUAGCCUCGGGAAACCGGGAUUAAUACCGCAUAAAAUCGUAGAAACACAUGUUUUAACGGUCAAAGAUUUAUCGGUCAUAGAUGGGCUCGCGUCUGAUUAGCUAGUUGGUGAGAUAACAGCCCACCAAGGCGACGAUCAGUAGCCGGUCUGAGAGGAUGAACGGCCACAUUGGAACUGAGACACGGUCCAAACUCCUACGGGAGGCAGCAGUGGGGAAUAUUGCACAAUGGGGGAAACCCUGAUGCAGCGACGCCGCGUGAACGAAGAAGGUAUUCGUAUCGUAAAGUUCUGUCCUAUGGGAAGAUAAUGACAGUACCAUAGAAGAAAGCUCCGGCUAAAUACGUGCCAGCAGCCGCGGUAAUACGUAUGGAGCGAGCGUUGUCCGGAAUUAUUGGGCGUAAAGGGUACGCAGGCGGUUUAAUAAGUCGAAUGUUAAAGAUCGGGGCUCAACCCCGUAAAGCAUUGGAAACUGAUAAACUUGAGGUAUGGAAGGGAAAGUGGAAUUCCUAGUGUAGCGGUGAAAUGCGCAGAUAUUAGGAGGAAUACCGGUGGCGAAGGCGACUUUCUGGCCAUAACCUGACGCUGAGGUACGAAAGCGUGGGUAGCAAACAGGAUUAGAUACCCUGGUAGUCCACGCCGUAAACGACGAGUGUUAGGUGUCUGGAGUAAAUCUGGGUGCCGCAGCUAACGCAUUAAACACUCCGCCUGGGGAGUACGCACGCAAGUGUG